Molecule: ribosomal RNA, 269 nt
Filed under: uncultured bacterium
Lineage: Bacteria
Description: partial 16S ribosomal RNA
Rfam family: Bacterial small subunit ribosomal RNA
Source: RNAcentral
UAAAAUCUUAGUGGCGGACGGGUGAGUAACGCGUGGGUAACCUGCCUUACACUGGGGGAUAACACUUAGAAAUAGGUGCUAAUACCGCAUAAGCGCACGAAGCCGCAUGGAUUUGUGUGAAGAACUCCGGUGGUGUAAGAUGGACCCGCGUCUGAUUAGCUUGUUGGCGGGGUAACGGCCCACCAAGGCGACGAUCAGUAGCCGGCCUGAGAGGGUGGACGGCCACAUUGGGACUGAGACACGGCCCAAACUCCUACGGAAGGCAGCAG